CCUACGGGAGGCACCAGUAGGGAAUCUUCCACAAUGGACGAAAGUCUGAUGGAGCAACGCCGCGUGAGUGAAGAAGGGUUUCGGCUCGUAAAACUCUGUUGUUAGAGAAGAACGGGUAUAAGAGUAACUGCUUAUAUCGCGACGGUAUCUAACCAGAAAGCCCCGGCUAACUACGUGCCAGCAGCCGCGGUAAUACGUAGGGGGCGAGCGUUGUCCGGAAUUAUUGGGCGUAAAGGGCUCGCAGGCGGUUUCUUAAGUCUGAUGUGAAAGCCCCCGGCUCAACCGGGGAGGGUCAUUGGAAACUGGGGAACUUGAGUGCAGAAGAGGAGAGUGGAAUUCCACGUGUAGCGGUGAAAUGCGUAGAGAUGUGGAGGAACACCAGUGGCGAAGGCGACUCUCUGGUCUGUAACUGACGCUGAGGAGCGAAAGCGUGGGGAGCGAGCAGGAUUAGAUACCCGCGUAGUC
This 465-nucleotide ribosomal RNA is filed under the name uncultured bacterium. RNAcentral describes it as "bacterial SSU rRNA". It matches the Rfam family "Bacterial small subunit ribosomal RNA", at positions 338 to 795 of the family's 1533-position model. The record is from RNAcentral.